GAUUUGAACCUGCGGAAGGAUCAUUAUUGUAUAUUAAAAACAUAUAAUAAUUGAUACUUGAAAUAAAGUGAAGUGUGAAGUUUAUUUCACAAAAAAUUUACUAGGUAGCCGUACGAUGAGCUUUAAAGAAUUUUGCCUAGUGUCCCUACCAUACAUAUACAUAUUGUAGUAUGGUGAUAGAGGUGGAGUAGAUAGUCGCUACUCAUUUACCUUCUAUCAUAGUUUAUUUAUAACAUAAAAUGUAUGUUUGUAAAACAAAAUAUAAAAAUAUAAAAAAAUGAAAACCUUAAACAGGGGAUCACUUGGCUCAUGGGUCGAUGAAGACCGCAGCAAACUGCGUGUCACCAUGUGAACUGCAGGACACAUGAUCAUUGACAUGUUGAACGCAUAUUGCACCUCAUGCGAUUAGAUUUUGAUUCAAGUAAUUGUUUUAAAAUCUGUGUGAGGUACACAUGGUUGAGUGUCGUUAUUUAUAUAUUAAACUAUCUUUUGUGCAAAAGUACAAAAGUGCAGAUGCGGUUUUACCAUACAUAUAAUGUGUGUGGUAUGCUGUGAAAGAUUGGAGAUGAUUUAAUAAUUUCCACUAUUAUUACUUACACUUAUAGUAUAACGUAUGUAGUGGUUUAAAAAAUUUAAAUUUAAAUCUAAUAAUAAUAAUAAAAUAUAAACGACCUCAACUCAUGUGUGA
Molecule: ribosomal RNA, 688 nt
Filed under: Forcipomyia townsvillensis
Lineage: Eukaryota; Metazoa; Arthropoda; Insecta; Diptera; Ceratopogonidae
Description: eukaryotic LSU rRNA
Rfam family: 5.8S ribosomal RNA (bases 283-466)
Source: RNAcentral